GACGAACGCUGGCGGCGUGCUUAACACAUGCAAGUCGAACGGAAAGGCCCUGCUUUUGUGGGGUGCUCGAGUGGCGAACGGGUGAGUAACACGUGAGUAACCUGCCCUUGACUUUGGGAUAACUUCAGGAAACUGGGGCUAAUACCGGAUAGGAGCUCCUGCUGCAUGGUGGGGGUUGGAAAGUUUCGGCGGUUGGGGAUGGACUCGCGGCUUAUCAGCUUGUUGGUGGGGUAGUGGCUUACCAAGGCUUUGACGGGUAGCCGGCCUGAGAGGGUGACCGGCCACAUUGGGACUGAGAUACGGCCCAGACUCCUACGGGAGGCAGCAGUGGGGAAUAUUGCACAAUGGGCGGAAGCCUGAUGCAGCAACGCCGCGUGCGGGAUGACGGCCUUCGGGUUGUAAACCGCUUUCGCCUGUGACGAAGCGUGAGUGACGGUAAUGGGUAAAGAAGCACCGGCUAACUACGUGCCAGCAGCCGCGGUGAUACGUAGGGUGCGAGCGUUGUCCGGAUUUAUUGGGCGUAAAGGGCUCGUAGGUGGUUGAUCGCGUCGGAAGUGUAAUCUUGGGGCUUAACCCUGAGCGUGCUUUCGAUACGGGUUGACUUGAGGAAGGUAGGGGAGAAUGGAAUUCCUGGUGGAGCGGUGGAAUGCGCAGAUAUCAGGAGGAACACCAGUGGCGAAGGCGGUUCUCUGGGCCUUUCCUGACGCUGAGGAGCGAAAGCGUGGGGAGCGAACAGGCUUAGAUACCCUGGUAGUCCACGCUGUAAACGGUGGGUACUAGGUGUGGGGUCCAUUCCACGGGUUCCGUGCCGUAGCUAACGCUUUAAGUACCCCGCCUGGGGAGUAUGGCCGCAAGGCUAAAACUCAAAGGAAUUGACGGGGCCCCGCACAAGCGGCGGAGCAUGCGGAUUAAUUCGAUGCAACGCGUAGAACCUUACCUGGGUUUGACAUGGAUCGGGAGCGCUCAGAGAUGGGUGUGCCUCUUUUGGGGUCGGUUCACAGGUGGUGCAUGGCUGUCGUCAGCUCGUGUCGUGAGAUGUUGGGUUAAGUCCCGCAACGAGCGCAACCCUUGUUCACUGUUGCCAGCACGUUAUGGUGGGGACUCAGUGGAGACCGCCGGGGUCAACUCGGAGGAAGGUGGGGAUGGCGUCAAGUCAUCAUGCCCCUUAUGUCCAGGGCUUCACGCAUGCUACAAUGGCUGGUACAGAGAGUGGCGAGCCUGUGAGGGUGAGCGAAUCUCGGAAAGCCGGUCUCAGUUCGGAUUGGGGUCUGCAACUCGACCUCAUGAAGUCGGAGUCGCUAGUAAUCGCAGAUCAGCAACGCUGCGGUGAAUACGUUCCCGGG
This 1343-nucleotide ribosomal RNA is filed under the name uncultured bacterium. RNAcentral describes it as "16S ribosomal RNA". It matches the Rfam family "Bacterial small subunit ribosomal RNA", at positions 28 to 1378 of the family's 1533-position model. The record is from RNAcentral.